CCUACGGGCGGCAGCAGUGGGGAAUAUUGCACAAUGGGGGAAACCCUGAUGCAGCAACGCCGCGUGAAGGAAGAAGGCUUUCGGGUUGUAAACUUCUUUUAAGAGGGAAGAGCAGAAGACGGUACCUCUUGAAUAAGCCACGGCUAACUACGUGACAGCAGCCGCGGUAAUACGUAGGUGGCAAGCGUUGUCCGGAUUUACUGGGUGGAAAGGGCGUGCAGCCGGGAAGACAAGUCAGAUGUGAAAUCCCGCGGCUCAACCGCGGAACUGCAUUUGAAACUGGUUUGCUUGAGUACCGGAGAGGUCAUCGGAAUUCCUUGUGUAGCGGUGAAAUGCGUAGAUAUAAGGAAGAACACCAGAGGCGAAGGCGGAUGACUGGACGGCAACUGACGGUGAGGCGCGAAAGCGUGGGGAGCAAACAGGAUUAGAUACCCCAGUAGUC
This 442-nucleotide ribosomal RNA is filed under the name uncultured bacterium. Its description in RNAcentral is "partial 16S ribosomal RNA". It matches the Rfam family "Bacterial small subunit ribosomal RNA", at positions 338 to 795 of the family's 1533-position model. The record is from RNAcentral.